This 455-nucleotide ribosomal RNA is filed under the name uncultured organism. RNAcentral's name for it is "partial 16S ribosomal RNA". It matches the Rfam family "Bacterial small subunit ribosomal RNA", at positions 330 to 800 of the family's 1533-position model. The record is from RNAcentral.
CGUACACUCCUGCGGGAGGCAGCAGUGGGGAAUAUUGGACAAUGGGCGCAAGCCUGAUCCAGCCAUGCCGCGUGAGUGAUGAAGGCCCUAGGGUUGUAAAGCUCUUUCACCGGUGAAGAUAAUGACGGUAACCGGAGAAGAAGCCCCGGCUAACUUCGUGCCAGCAGCCGCGGUAAUACGAAGGGGGCUAGCGUUGUUCGGAUUUACUGGGCGUAAAGCGCACGUAGGCGGACUAUUAAGUCAGGGGUGAAAUCCCGGGGCUCAACCCCGGAACUGCCUUUGAUACUGGUAGUCUUGAGUUCGAGAGAGGUGAGUGGAAUUCCGAGUGUAGAGGUGAAAUUCGUAGAUAUUCGGAGGAACACCAGUGGCGAAGGCGGCUCACUGGCUCGAUACUGACGCUGAGGUGCGAAAGCGUGGGGAGCAAACAGGAUUAGAAACCCCGUGUAGUCCCAUGA